GUGGGGAAUCUUAGACAAUGGGCGCAAGCCUGAUCUAGCCAUGCCGCGUGAGCGAUGAAGGCCUUAGGGUUGUAAAGCUCUUUCGUGGGGGAAGAUAAUGACUGUACCCCAAGAAGAAGCCCCGGCUAACUCCGUGCCAGCAGCCGCGGUAAUACGGAGGGGGCUAGCGUUGUUCGGAAUUACUGGGCGUAAAGCGCACGUAGGCGGACUGGAAAGUCAGGGGUGAAAUCCCGGGGCUCAACCCCGGAACUGCCUUUGAAACUCCCAGUCUUGAGUUCGAGAGAGGUGAGUGGAAUUCCGAGUGUAGAGGUGAAAUUCGUAGAUAUUCGGAGGAACACCAGGGGCGAAGGCGGCUCACUGGCUCGAUACUGACGCUGAGGUGCGAAAGCGUGGGGAGCAAACAGGAUUAGAAACCCGUGUAGUCC
This 425-nucleotide ribosomal RNA is filed under the name uncultured bacterium. RNAcentral's name for it is "partial 16S ribosomal RNA". It matches the Rfam family "Bacterial small subunit ribosomal RNA", at positions 354 to 796 of the family's 1533-position model. The record is from RNAcentral.